RNAcentral lists this long non-coding RNA (1178 nucleotides) under Oryza sativa aus subgroup. Its description in RNAcentral is "lncRNA OsNaBo_02g0014740". Lineage: Eukaryota; Viridiplantae; Streptophyta; Magnoliopsida; Poales; Poaceae. The record is from RNAcentral.
CUCUUUUCUCUCGUCGUCUCCGUCGAGGUGAUUAGCCUGGCGAAUCUUCUCGUUGCUGGCUUCUCGCCGGCGUCUCGCCGGUUAUUUCUUUGGCUGAAGCGUCGAUUUGGAGCUGGCAUCUCAGCUAGGCCAACUGUUGUAUACUCGUCUGAUUUGAAGCGUGCUGCUGAGACUGCAGAAAUCAUAGAGAAAGCCUGUGAUGUAUCAAAUAUAGUGUUGACUGAAGCACUAAGAGAAAGGCACAUGGGAUAUCUGCAAGGCGUUUUCAAAGGCUUUGCUAAUUUUGAAGUUAAAAAUGGUUUGGACUUUGAUGGCAGAAACCAAGAAUUGCCGCUGCUAUCCUACCAAUUAAGAACUCUGAACCUUGAAGAUGUUUUGUUGAUGCGGGUGAUUGUUGUCGGCUAUGGUGCAGCCAUAUUGGAACUAAAAUAUUUUUACACUGACAGGGGAGCUUUGUUAUAUCUGCAGAGUCGAAGUACUUUGUACAUCAACAUCCAAAUCAAAAAACCAAAAGAAGAUUCUAAAAGUUUGAGGUGUGGUCUGAAUUCUAAAUUUUAGAUGCAAUUUGAAGAUCAAGAAACAAAUGAACAUGUUACUGGAUUCAGAUUCAGAAGAAGAUUCAAAACAAGGUUCAUAAAGUGAUGAAGAUUUAUGUAUAAAAUGUAGACCCAUAACUCAGAAGAUAUUUUUUUGGAGUGAUGAAGCUUUGUGAAUUUUUUUGAUGGAGAUUCAUAUGAAAAUCCGAAGCUAAACACUCAAAUAUUUCAAUCUGUGAACACUCUGAAGUCAAUCUACUUAAUAUAUCACCAAUUGAACAUUUCUGAUUUCUGAUUUGAGUUCAAUCUCAUUCGACAGAAAUGUAGAUCAAUAUUCAGAAGAUUUGAGUUAAGUUUUGUGAUUUAUUCUGAUGAAGAUUCAUACCAAGAAGGUUCAAAGAAUUCUUUUUCUCCCUCUAAAUCCUUUCUGAGCCGUUGUUCUUUUAUUUGGUCCUUUAAAUUGACUACAAUGUUAAUUUGGGCUUUCAUUUGAUGUAAAUUUUGUAUUCGGGCUCAAUCUGGGCUAUUUGAUUGGGUCAGGUUGUGUUGAGCCCUUUGAAAAUGGGCUUCCAAACCUGUUUGUGUUUGUUCAUUUAUGUAUUUUUAAUUUUUAUUUGUCAAAUAAUAUUAGCUGUUGGAUCU